UACGGAGGGUGCAAGCGUUAAUCGGAAUUACUGGGCGUAAAGCGCGCGUAGGCGGUUAAUUCAGUCAGAUGUGAAAGACCCGAGCUCAACCUGGGAACGGCAUCUGAAACUGGUUGGCUAGAGUGUUGUAGAGGAGGGUAGAAUUCCAUGUGUAGCGGUGAAAUGCGUAGAGAUGUGGAGGAAUACCGGUGGCGAAGGCGGCCCCCUGGACUAAGACUGACGCUCAGGUGCGAAAGCGUGGGGAGCAAACAGG
Molecule: ribosomal RNA, 253 nt
Filed under: uncultured bacterium
Lineage: Bacteria
Description: partial 16S ribosomal RNA
Rfam family: Bacterial small subunit ribosomal RNA
Source: RNAcentral